This is a long non-coding RNA of Octodon degus (degu), 99 nucleotides long. RefSeq lists it as uncharacterized. The record is from RefSeq and is a predicted model, not a curated record. Lineage: Eukaryota; Metazoa; Chordata; Mammalia; Rodentia; Octodontidae. The transcript is spliced from 3 exons.
CUCUUCAGAUCUGAAAAAUUUAAUGCCACAGCAUAACUAUACCCUUUGUAUUUUGUGCAGUGAUUAUUUUUAAAUAUCUUCUUUCAUGUAAGUAGCAAA